Molecule: ribosomal RNA, 472 nt
Filed under: uncultured bacterium
Lineage: Bacteria
Description: bacterial SSU rRNA
Rfam family: Bacterial small subunit ribosomal RNA
Source: RNAcentral
GACGAACGCUGGCGGCGUGCUUAACACAUGCAAGUCGAACGAUGAAGCCGGAGCUUGCUCCGGUGGAUUAGUGGCGAACGGGUGAGUAACACGUGAGCAAUCUGCCCUUGACUCUGGGAUAACUGCGGGAAACUGUAGCUAAUACCGGAUACGACACCUUGGGGCAUCCCAGGGUGUGGAAAGAAUUUCGGUCAAGGAUGAGCUCGCGGCCUAUCAGCUAGUUGGUGAGGUAAUGGCUCACCAAGGCGACGACGGGUAGCCGGCCUGAGAGGGUGACCGGCCACACUGGAACUGAGACACGGUCCAGACUCCUACGGGAGGCAGCAGUGGGGAAUAUUGCACAAUGGGCGAAAGCCUGAUGCAGCAACGCCGCGUGAGGGAUGAAGGCCUCGGUUGUAAACCUCUUUAGCAGGAGAAGCGAAAGUGACGGUACCUGCAGAAAAGCACCGGCUAACUACGUGCCAGCAGCCGC